Molecule: non-coding RNA, 332 nt
Organism: Punica granatum (pomegranate)
Lineage: Eukaryota; Viridiplantae; Streptophyta; Magnoliopsida; Myrtales; Lythraceae
Source: RefSeq, a predicted model, not a curated record
AUACUCUGUCUUCAGCAACAAGUUUAAAUAAAGUGACCGAUUCAAGCUCCUGUUUCAGAGCAUGAACUUCUGCAUCUGCGUUUUCCCAUCCUAAACAAAGAAGGCGACUUCCACAUAAGUCUCUGUAGCUUCUUUAAGGGAGCGUGUUAGAAUCCACACCAGUAAGGAGCAAACCUGAAACCGCUUCUUCGGCAACUUUUGCAUGCUGCUUGACGAGAUUUUCCUUGGUAGAUAACUCCAAAUGAGCAGUCGAUAACUUUCCCUCUAAAUCCUUCACUUGAUUCUCCAAUGUAUUUACUUGAUUUUCCAAUGCACUGACUAGUUCUUCCAAA